This 362-nucleotide RNase P RNA is filed under the name Gammaproteobacteria bacterium. RNAcentral's name for it is "RNase P RNA component class A". It matches the Rfam family "Bacterial RNase P class A". From Rfam's summary of the family: Ribonuclease P (RNase P) is a ubiquitous endoribonuclease, found in archaea, bacteria and eukarya as well as chloroplasts and mitochondria. The record is from RNAcentral. Lineage: Bacteria; Pseudomonadati; Pseudomonadota; Gammaproteobacteria.
GGAGUCGGCCGGACGGUCGCUGCGGACCCCGAGUCAUUCGUGGUCGCAGAGGAAAGUCCGGGCUCCGACGGGCAGGGUGCCAGGUAACGCCUGGGGGGCGCGAGCCCACGGAAAGUGCCACAGAGAACAGACCGCCUAAGUCCCGGCAACGGGACCGGCAAGGGUGAAACGGUGCGGUAAGAGCGCACCGCGCCGAUGGCAACAUCGGUGGCAGGGCAAACCCCACCCGGAGCAAGACCAAAUAGGGGAGCAUUGGCGUGGCCCGCGCUGCUCCCGGGUAGGUCGCUUGAGGUGCACGGUGACGUGCAUCCCAGAUGAAUGGUCGUCCACGACAGAACCCGGCUUACAGGCCGACUCCCUUU